This is a long non-coding RNA of Oncorhynchus tshawytscha (Chinook salmon), 3633 nucleotides long. The record is from Ensembl. Lineage: Eukaryota; Metazoa; Chordata; Actinopteri; Salmoniformes; Salmonidae.
GAUAGCCUCUUUGUUGAUUUUUAACCAGAUAAGAAUUCUCCUGUUUUGAGUUAUACCAUAUUAGCAUUCCCCCUGAGUCUCUGCCCUGUUUGAUUCCUUUUAAUUUAGUGGAUGGUACAAUUAUCUCCCUGUAACCUAGUGGACAGCCAGUGGAAACAUCACCUCUGCACCAUGUUUCCUGUAGUACUACAAUACCAACAUCAUCAAUUUCUUUCAGGUAAUCUGUGUUUCUGCUCUUUAGCCCAAAAGCAGAGGAAUUCAAGCCUUGUAAAUUCCAACAUGCAACGUAAAAAGAUUUCACAACUGUUUUUUCUUUACCUUCAAAAUGCUAUACACUCACAAUCCAGCAAGAACUAUUAAAAUAGGAUUUUUCAAUUAAUGUAAACUCUUAUUAUGCAAAUGUGAUUUGUUUAUAAUUUAAGAUAGCAUUUGUGUCAUGCGACUUGCGUGGAUGUAGUGUGAGGAUGGUGGAGUUCUUGUGCUCAUCUUACCAUGACCCUCGGCCUAUCACGUGAGCAUAAAAUACUCAGCAUUUGUUUAAUGUCACUCAUUUGAUUGGUGGAGGCUGGGCCAGUUGCUCCUCUCACAGACUGUGCAUAGCUCUGUCUGCAGGGUUUUGGCUCCUCCAGGUGUGGGUCUGCGGUGGGGGGUGGUAGGCCUCAUCUGGUUGGGUCUGAAGCUGGUGUGGUCUGUGCCGCGCUGGCGGUGGUGGGCAUUGAGGUUGGUGGUGCUGUGGCCGUGGCUGGGGGGGGUCCAGAGUUCUGGUCCGGGGUGUUAUCUCGGUGGGGUGGAGAUUGCUCCGCUUUUCCUGUUUUGAGAGAUCGGGUUGCGGUUUAAAGCAACGUCCUUGAGAGUCUUGGCAAGGAUGGGGACUGUCUCCCUGUACAGGUGAACAUGGUCAUAGAGACAGUCCAGAUCGAGGGUGGGAUGGUGAGCCAGGUGUACAUUGGGUCGCAGGGCACAGUCCAGAUCGAGGGUGGGAUGGUGAGCCAGGUGUACAUUGGGUUGCAAGGCACAGUCCCGGGAGAGGCUGGCGUUUAUUCUUUGGAUUGUGGAAGGGUGGAAGUCCUUCCUCUGUAGAAGGGUUGACACCAAGAUUCCUUGAGUUGGGGAAGAUUGCAGAGGCCUUCUCAAUCACUUCCCGUAGUGAAGUCGUCACCCUCUUCUGAUGAGCACGCAGGUCGUUGCUUCCGGUGUGUAUGACUAUGUGGCUUGGCGACCCGAGCUGGGCCUUAUCAAGCAGCUCCAUGGCACUCUGCGUUGUUGGCACCACAUCUUUCUCGUUUUGUGUCUAGGGAAAAAUGUAUUCUCCUGAACAAACUUCUCAUUUGAGUCCAUCAACAGGACCAUGUCAGCCAGUGUUUAUUCUGGACUGGAGGAGGUAGUGGGGGCUGGUGGGUGUUGGAGCUGGGGUGUGGCUGGUCGGUGCCGGUGCUGCUGUCAGUUGGAGGCUGUUCUGUGGGCUGGGGUGAGGAGUGCAGCAGGCAGGGCUAGGGAGGCCUGGCUGGUUGAGCUGGGCUCCUCUGCUGUGUGAGGGCAGGUUUGGGGAGGCCUGGCUGGUUGAGGUGGGCUCCUCUGCUGUGUGAGGGCUGGUCAUAGAGUGGUGAUAUAACUGCUCCUGCAGCCUGUCCUCCUGUCCCCUUUCUCUCCUGCAGCCUGUCCUCCUGUCCUCUUUCUCUCCUGCAGCCUGUCCUCCUUCUCUUCUGCAGCCUGUCCUCUUUCUCUCCUGCAGCCUAUCCGCUUUCUCUCCUGCAGCCUGUCCUCUUUCUCUCCUGCAGCCUGUCCUCUUUCUCUCCUGCAGCCUGUCCUCUUUCUCUCCUGCAGCCUGUCCUCUUUCUCUCCUGCAGCCUGUCCUCUUUCUCUCCUGCAGCCUGUCCUCUUUCUCUCCUGCAGCUCCUCUCUUAGUGUGGUCAGAUUGUACUGCUCUGCCUGUCUUUUUGGAGCUCUCUCACCUCCUUUGUUAGAUCAGCCAGUUCUCUCGAGUCCGUCUCUCUCUUGCUGAACCUCUUUCAGCUGUCCUGCUCUGUCCUCACCUUGGUUAGGAGCUCUUCUAAGGUGUGGAUGUCUGGCUACUGUUUGCUCACGCUCACCCUGAGCAGGACAACCUCCCCCUCUAGUUUGGUGAACUCACCCCUCAUGGCAGCCAUGGUGGUGAGGAGGGCCUGAGCCUGCUCUGCACUGAGGGGGUCGCUCUCCUCCUUGGGCGUGUCCUCCACUUUGAUGGGAAGAGAGUUGCUGGAUGUGCCUUUUUGGGUGGGGAGAGUGGGGGUGAUGGUGGUGGAGUUUCUCUCUCUGCUCUCUCCUUAAUGGUCUGAAAGUCUGUUUCAAACAGCCUAAGGUUACUUUGCCCCAGUCUUGUAGAGGUUAAUUGUUAUCAUGGCGCUGUCAGGGUCAUCUGUCUAUUUGACUUUCAGCUUUCACCCAUUACAGAUUCCUUCUUUCUUUAUGGAUGGGUAGUGAGAGCAGACUGCUGACCGCCAUGCAUUUGGUUGGUCAGGGAGAAAUAUGAGAUUACUCACAUUAUUGUUUUUGUAGAGGUCUGCGAAAAAGAUUUCUGGCCUCCCCUUUAGUAGUUUAAUUUUUUUUUUUUUUAAAGCUUUCAUCCUUGUGUCAAUUUUGGCCUCUGGAGAGUAGAGAAUGGACUCAGCGCUGAGGGGGAGUGGGGACAUGGUGCUUGUGGGCUCUGCUACUACUGCUGCUCUGUUUUUCUGCACCAUUGCCUUGGCAACCGGUUUUGUUUGUCUGCUGCUGUUGCUAGCUAGCUCUAAUUUAGCUCAGAAACUGGAAAAAAAAGUGAAAAAUCUUCACAGCAAAAAUACAGAAUAUGUUUAAAGUUAGAGUCCGCGCUCCUUUUUGUUUACUCACUCAGUUUGAUCAUUUGAUGUAGUUGUAUUAACUCCCCUUGCUAGGUUUGUUCUAGCUAAAUCUUUCUGGCUAGCAUGUUAGCCUGCUGGCUAGGUUUUUGUGGUGUAGCUAGCUAGCGAGUCAAGACUUCUUAAUUUGAGGCGCAAAGUGACUUUUUUCUAUUCUGAUUAAAUAUUGAGUUGUUCAUCACUUCUUGUCUUGAAUUAUUUUUUAGAUUUGAGUGUCUCAUUCUAAAAACAAAAAAAAAUGAAAUAAAUCAGGAGCUCACGUUGAACAUCUCUGUAGCUCUUUCUCUCUCACCGUCUGGCUUCUCUCUCAUCACUGUUUGUGGCUGUUGUCUCUCUAUCAUACGUACACAAACAUACCUGGCACCACCUAGAAGGCAUGUCCAUAGCAGUGCACAGCAGAGACCAAGAACAGUCCCUUGUCAAUUAGGGAUUGCACGCUGUACUGGCUCAUUGCACAGUCACUGCCGAUGCUGUGUGUGUGAGAGAGAGUGUGGUAAGGGUGAGCCGUACUGGGCGAUGCCAGCCCUUUUACGAUCCACAGUCUGUCCAUUGUCCGAGUGCCCAACCAUCAGUACAACAACAAUGGCCGCCUCAGUGACCCCUAUUGUCUCUGAGCAACAGGCCGCUCACAUGCACUGCCUGAUAAGGAGGUGCGAGGGCCAGACACACACAAAACACACAGCAACUUAAAUCCAAGAACAGCAUCCAAGCACAUAGACGCUUUGUUUAAUGAAACCACAUUGUACCCUUUAACCAUGGC